UACGAAGGAUCCAAGCGUUGUCCGGAUUUACUGGGUUUAAAGGGUGCGUAGGCGGAUUAUUAAGUCAGCGGUGAAAGCUUGCAGCUUAACUGUAAAAUUGCCAUUGAAACUGAUAAUCUCGAAUAUGGUUGAGGUGGUUGGAAUGUAUCAUGUAGCGGUGAAAUGCUUAGAUAUGAUACAGAACACCGAUUGCGAAGGCAGAUCACUAAACCAUUAUUGACGCUGAGGCACGAAAGCGUGGGGAUCAAACAGG
RNAcentral lists this ribosomal RNA (253 nucleotides) under uncultured bacterium. Its description in RNAcentral is "partial 16S ribosomal RNA". It matches the Rfam family "Bacterial small subunit ribosomal RNA", at positions 524 to 776 of the family's 1533-position model. The record is from RNAcentral.